RNAcentral lists this ribosomal RNA (373 nucleotides) under uncultured organism. RNAcentral describes it as "bacterial SSU rRNA". It matches the Rfam family "Bacterial small subunit ribosomal RNA", at positions 527 to 896 of the family's 1533-position model. The record is from RNAcentral.
CGGGGGAGCAAGCGUUGUUCGGAUUUACUGGGCGUAAAGGGCGCGUAGGCGGCCAGCACAAGUCAGUUGUGAAAUCUCCGGGCUUAACUCGGAACGGUCAACUGAUACUGUGCGGCUAGAGUGCAGAAGGGGCAACUGGAAUUCUCGGUGUAGCGGUGAAAUGCGUAGAUAUCGAGAGGAACACCUGCGGCGAAGGCGGGUUGCUGGGCUGACACUGACGCUGAUGCGCGAAAGCCAGGGGAGCGAACGGGAUUAGAUACCCCGGUAGUCCUGGCCUUAAACGAUGGAUGCUUGGUGUCUGGAGUUUUAUAGUCUCCGGGUGCCGUAGCUAACGCGUUAAGCAUCCCGCCUGGGGAGUACGGUCGCAAGACUG